This 508-nucleotide ribosomal RNA is filed under the name uncultured bacterium. RNAcentral describes it as "partial 16S ribosomal RNA". It matches the Rfam family "Bacterial small subunit ribosomal RNA", at positions 28 to 523 of the family's 1533-position model. The record is from RNAcentral.
GAUGAACGCUAGCUACAGGCUUAACACAUGCAAGUCGAGGGGAAACGAUAUUGGAAGCUUGCUUCCGAUAGGCGUCGACCGGCGCACGGGUGAGCAACGCGUAUCCAACCUGCCCAUCACUUGGGGAUAACCUUGCGAAAGUAAGACUAAUACCCAAUGAUAUCUCUAGAAGACAUCUGAAGGAGAUUAAAGAUUCAUCGGUGAUGGAUGGGGAUGCGUCUGAUUAGCUUGUUGGCGGGGUAACGGCCCACCAAGGCGACGAUCAGUAGGGGGUCUGAGAGGAAGGUCCCCCACAUUGGAACUGAGACACGGUCCAAACUCCUACGGGAGGCAGCAGUGAGGAAUAUUGGUCAAUGGACGAGAGUCUGAACCAGCCAAGUAGCGUGCAGGAUGACGGCCCUAUGGGUUGUAAACUGCUUUUAUAAGGGAAUAAAGUGAGUCUCGUGAGACUUUUUGCACGUACCUUAUGAAUAAGGACCGGCUAAUUCCGUGCCAGCCGCCGCCGUAA